Molecule: ribosomal RNA, 269 nt
Filed under: uncultured bacterium
Lineage: Bacteria
Description: partial 16S ribosomal RNA
Rfam family: Archaeal small subunit ribosomal RNA
Source: RNAcentral
UACCAGCACCCCGAGUGGGUCGGGACGAUUAUUGGGCCUAAAGCAUCCGUAGCCGGUCAUGCAAGUCUUCCGUUAAAUCCAGCCGCUCAACGGUUGGGGCUGCGGAGGAUACUACUGGCUAGGAGGCGGGAGGAGGCAAGCGGUACUCGAUGGUAGGGGUAAAAUCCGUUGAUCCAUUGAAGACCACCAGUGGCGAAGGCGGCUUGCCAGAACGCGCUCGACGGUGAGGGAUGAAAGCUGGGGGAGCAAACCGGAUUAGAAACCCCGAG